AGAUAACUCCGAGUCCUCACGGCGAGGAUAGGAGUAACGGCUGUGUGGCACAGCCAUCGGUACACCUGUUCGACCGCGAAAGCGGGAUGUUCCAAUCGAGAGAACAGGUCGUAUCGUAGACCAGCAAAUAUCCCACCCUGCGGUACGGGAAGCCGCGUCCUUCAGGGCGCGGA
RNAcentral lists this non-coding RNA (173 nucleotides) under Natronobacterium lacisalsi AJ5. Its description in RNAcentral is "Halobiforma lacisalsi AJ5 Sense overlapping transcript RNA 0042 (sot)". It matches the Rfam family "Sense overlapping transcript RNA 0042 (sot)". Rfam says of the family: It is associated with IS1341-type transposase (tnpB) genes, at the 3'-end in H. salinarum NRC-1. The tetraloop structural motif may be functional. The record is from Rfam by way of RNAcentral. Lineage: Archaea; Methanobacteriati; Methanobacteriota; Halobacteria; Halobacteriales; Natrialbaceae.